Molecule: ribosomal RNA, 375 nt
Filed under: uncultured Sphingobacteriales bacterium
Lineage: Bacteria; Pseudomonadati; Bacteroidota; Sphingobacteriia; Sphingobacteriales
Description: bacterial SSU rRNA
Rfam family: Bacterial small subunit ribosomal RNA
Source: RNAcentral
AAAGGAUACUUCUUCGGACAAUAUACAAGGUGCUGCAUGGUUGUCGUCAGCUCGUGCCGUGAGGUGUCGGGUUAAGUCCCAUAACGAGCGCCAACCCCUAUCAUUAGUUGCCAUCAGGUCAAGCUGGGGACUCUAAUGAAACUGCCUACGCAAGUAGUGAGGAAGGUGGGGAUGACGUCAAAUCAGCACGGCCCUUACGUCCAGGGCUACACACGUGCUACAAUGACCGGUACAAAGGGCAGCUACCUGGUGACAGGAUGCAAAUCUCCAAAGUCGGUCUCAGUUCGGAUCGGAGUCUGCAACCCGACUCCGUGAAGUUGGAUUCGCUAGUAAUCGCGCAUCAGCCAUGGCGCGGUGAAUACGUUCCCGGGCCUU